RNAcentral lists this non-coding RNA (106 nucleotides) under bovine gut metagenome. RNAcentral's name for it is "NiCo riboswitch". It matches the Rfam family "NiCo (Nickel/Cobalt) riboswitch aptamer". The record is from RNAcentral.
ACAGUACAAACUGAACAGGCAAUAUGGCCGCUUUCCUGUGGCUGUAUGUGGCCGGGUCGUGAGAAUGACAGCAGAAAAAGCUUUAAAAGCACAUCUGCGGGACAGU